RNAcentral lists this ribosomal RNA (406 nucleotides) under uncultured bacterium. Its description in RNAcentral is "partial 16S ribosomal RNA". It matches the Rfam family "Bacterial small subunit ribosomal RNA", at positions 30 to 526 of the family's 1533-position model. The record is from RNAcentral.
AUUGAACGCUGGCGGCAGGCCUAACACAUGCAAGUCGAACGAGUGGCGGACGGGUGAGUAAUGUCUGGGAAACUGCCCGAUGGCGGGGGAUAACUACUGGAAACGGUAGCUAAUACCGCAUACCAUCGGAUGUGCCCAGAUGGGAUUAGCUCGUAGGUGGGGUAAUGGCUCACCUAGGCGACGAUCCCUAGCUGGUCUGAGAGGAUGACAAGCCACACUGGGACUGAGACACGGUCCAGAGUCCUACGGGAGGCCGCAGUGGUGAAGUUUGCACAAGAGUCGCAAGCCUUAUGCAGCCAUGCCGCGUGGAUGAAGAAGGCCUUCGGGUUGUAAAGUACUUUCAGCGAGGAGGCGUUACUCGCAGAAGAAGCCCCGGCUAACUCCGUGCCAGCCGCCGCGGUAAUAC